Long non-coding RNA from Osmerus eperlanus (European smelt), 874 nucleotides. RefSeq lists it as uncharacterized. The transcript has 5 exons. NCBI's taxonomy places the organism in Eukaryota, Metazoa, Chordata, Actinopteri, Osmeriformes, Osmeridae. The record is from RefSeq and is a predicted model, not a curated record.
CUCGACUGUAAACGUCAGGGUAAUGGGACUUUUCAAAUGCUCUUUCCAGCUCGUGAAGCUGAAAGGUGGUGAACGUCGUCCUGUUCCGCCUGUGCUUUUUCUUGGGAUUCUCAUCAUCAGAAAGUUUACUGUCCCCCUCAGUAUUGCUUCAAUGCUGUGAACUCUAGAUGUGUUCACCGGACUUCUGACGAAACGUGCGGAAGGUGACAUGCGCUCUUCCAUCAUAACUUCCAUAGGCGAACCAAUGAGCCACAUUGAAUAAUAAGAACUUCUUCAAUCAAAACUCUUCAACACCAAAUUCACCUGAAGAAGCUUCAGAAGCGGUAGUAAAGCCCAAACAGAUGUCAUGUCCAUGAAGGCCUGCAAUAAAAUAAAAAAAGGAAAAAAAGGGCGGCAUACAGAUUAAAGCUUAAGCAAAGUAAGCCGUGGAUGUGUUUGUCAUGUUUACACCUGGAUGGAUGUUCAGAAAUUUGUGAAGUUGUGAAGUAAUGUGUAAGUAAAUACAACUUCUCCCACUUUCAGAGAGAAGCUGCCAAAGACAUUUAACCCUGAUGGGCCAAUGACUUCAACUACGUUGAUCCCAUUAGCCUCUUUGGAGAUUCAGUAAGGCCCUAUGAACUUGGGCGCACGUGAAAUUCUCAAAAGCCAGGAUUUUGGAUCUUUCCUUUUGUCUAAUCAACUCCAGCAAGUGUUUUUCAGUAAUCUCCAAUUAAAUUAAGACCCAUUUUUUAUUGGUGUUAGUGAAUUCCAAAUAGUAAGAACUUAAUCUGUGUGUGUUUAGUAGUGGCUUUACUUGGACUUGUACAGCUAGCUCUGUGUUCAUUAAAUAAUGCUGAAGGAAUUGUCAAAUAAAACAGGCUACAAAUCAGCCAUU